UGGACACAGCGACUGAAGAUGGA
This 23-nucleotide non-coding RNA is filed under the name Arabidopsis thaliana (thale cress). The record is from RNAcentral. Lineage: Eukaryota; Viridiplantae; Streptophyta; Magnoliopsida; Brassicales; Brassicaceae.